CCUACGGGAGGCAGCAGUAGGGAAUAUUGCUCAAUGGGGGAAACCCUGAAGCAGCAACGCCGCGUGGAGGAUGAAGGUUUUCGGAUUGUAAACUCCUUUUGUUAGAGAAGAUAAUGACGGUAUCUAACGAAUAAGCACCGGCUAACUCCGUGCCAGCAGCCGCGGUAAUACGGAGGGUGCAAGCGUUACUCGGAAUCACUGGGCGUAAAGAGCGCGUAGGCGGGAUAGCAAGUCAGAUGUGAAAUCCUAUGGCUUAACCAUAGAACUGCAUUUGAAACUGGUAUUCUAGAGUAUGGGAGAGGUAGGUGGAAUUCUUGGUGUAGGGGUGAAAUGCGUAGAGAUCAAGAGGAAUACUCAUUGCGAAGGCGGCCUGCUAGAACAUAACUGACGCUGAGGCGCGAAAGCGUGGGGAGCAAACAGGAUUAGAUACCCGGGUAGUC
RNAcentral lists this ribosomal RNA (440 nucleotides) under uncultured bacterium. RNAcentral's name for it is "partial 16S ribosomal RNA". It matches the Rfam family "Bacterial small subunit ribosomal RNA", at positions 338 to 795 of the family's 1533-position model. The record is from RNAcentral.